GUUUCAUCUGUGAAACACACACACAAUUCAGGUAGAAUAUUAAUGACUGACAGUCAUUCACUUCCAUUGCAUCUUAUGCCAUUCAAUGAAAGCUGAAUGGAGACUGGGACUGUCAUUCUGCCUGUCAUCUCAUGUCGUGUUUCACAGCAAAAAGAAACUCAUACAGGUUUCCAACAAAAUGAGGGCGAGUCAAUAAUGACGACAUUUAAUUUUUUUGUGCCAUCCUACUGAAAUACAGGCGCGCGCGAUCGCUCAGGUGCUUCCUGGUGCUUUAUUGCGGGAUCACAGGCAGGGGAACCGAAACGCUCAGCAGCGCUUCCAGGAAGCGUCGCCGGGGAGCACGCGCGUCGACAGACCGAGGAAUGCAGCAGGGUCUGCGACUCUCCAUCAGGUAGCCGCGAAACUAGAAGGUUCGCAGGCAGCGCGCGUGGCUCGGAGUGCGCGACGGUGUUUUUAUUUUCCCGCCGUCGGCGCGAGCUGCUGCUGACGCGAUGCUUUAGCCAUGGACAGCAGGAUAAACGAGAAUCCUGCGAGAACGUUUGAUUUGGCACUUCAGGUUGCAUGUCCAUCAUCUGAACAUGACGAUCCGACAGUGCUGUGGAAGUUCCCUCAGGACUUUGGAGACCAGGUUGGAGACAGAGGAACUUUUUUUUUCUCUCUCCAUACACCCUAUUCCCCCCACCAUCACUCCACCAGCACCACAUUCAUGACCCCUCCUGGUCCUAAAGGCUUCCCUCCUUCCUCUCUUCCUUCAUUUU
This 758-nucleotide long non-coding RNA is filed under the name Sinocyclocheilus grahami. RNAcentral describes it as "lncRNA (ENSSGRG00000032905.1)". Lineage: Eukaryota; Metazoa; Chordata; Actinopteri; Cypriniformes; Cyprinidae. The record is from RNAcentral.